Non-coding RNA from Bactrocera oleae (olive fruit fly), 3327 nucleotides. The record is from RefSeq and is a predicted model, not a curated record. NCBI's taxonomy places the organism in Eukaryota, Metazoa, Arthropoda, Insecta, Diptera, Tephritidae.
GUGGAUUUCAAUGGUCUGCAUUUCGAAAGAAAAUUGCACGCAUGGUGGAAUACAACAGUGUGUCACCGGUGCACAAUAGAAAUUUUUGGUGCGACUGUAGUGGCUGAAAUAGGUUUUGUUUCAAAAUGGUUUACGUAUUUAGCGCAAGCGGUGUUGUGUAUUCAAAAUUUAUUAUCUUCAUUUAUUUGUAAACUGUCAGCCGCUUGCCGGAAAUCGACUGUCCCUAACAGCCAGCAUUGUUGCUUAACGGCGCGUCGUUUCUCGUUAACUCGCACGUUUGGUGCCCUGUGUGGCGAAGCAACCUUGCGACUUUCAAAGAAUAUCAAAACAUUUUGAAUUCUGAUUCCCAAAUAGCAGGCGCACAGCAUAGCCAUGCAAGCGAAAACAAUGCACCACUAUUGCGAAUAGUACACUAACUAAACACACACGUCGCCGCCACCCAAGCUGUCAUCUCAUUCUCGCACACACAAUUGUGUGGAAUAUGUCAAAAACAAAUCGGCCAUUGUUUACCAUAUGUGCGUACGCAAUAGCGACGACACUGCGGCACAACAACAACACAAACAUCUCCAAUGACUAAGCACAUUUAACGCGCGUUGCUGCUGAAGAAACUCGCCUAGCGCCCGGACGGUGGUUUGCUUGUGUAGCGCGGCUGUUUGCCUGUGAAAAAAUUUCGCUGACGUGCCUAAAUGUAUGGAAUUGCGAUUUCAAGCAUCUCGGUAAUGUGCGGAAUUCGUAUUGGAAAUUUGGUUGCUACUUCGUUGGCGACGUUCACGCGCAUGCAUUUGGAUGGCAAGCACCAGAUCUACCCGCUACGAAAACAACGAACGCCGAUUAUACAUGCAAGCGACAAGGCAGGCCGCCGCUGGCCAGUUAUAUUCGUUUGUGCGUUUAUGCUGCCGUAGGCUAUCGAUUCGUUUGGCAAUCAGCUCGAUAUCUGUUUUUGGCGCUGAAUCUCAUUCGAUGAGCGGCCGCCCGACAGUUGGCAUUCGUUGCUUGCUAGUCUCGCUGGAAACCUGGUAUAAAUAGAGCUCGAUGACUGUUGUAUUAUCGAGAAAUGCACGGCAAUCGGGCAUCGCGCAUGUAGGCAAGUGAGCGAGCGAGCAAGUUCAAUAUUCGCACAACCCCAUCGAUUUGAAAAUAAAAAACGAUUGCAAUGAAUGCUUCAAAGAAGGGCGGGACGUAGGGGAUUGUGCGACUUGUAGUUGUAGUUUAAUUAUUGCAAAUAAUCGGGGAAAAGUAAAUUUUGAAUUUUUCUCACACAAACUAAAAGAAACAGUGGAAAAUUCCAAGAAAACGUAGAUUUAAAUUUUGUUUGAUAAACAUUUACAUACUUAGGAUUAAUAUAUGAAUAGAUAACAUGAAGUUCGCUAUCAAAGCAACUAGAAAAAUAUAAAAACGUAUAAAUGUCUAAAAACGAAAAAUUUUAUAGUUUUAACUGCAAUAUUGUUAAUCUGCACAUUUAUUUAAGUUUUAUUCACAUUCUCUCAUAUUUAUUUGCAGUUAAUACCGCAAGCUUGUUCACGUACAUAGUUAGGAAUGCCACUUAUUCUAUCGCUAGUGUUGUGUGCGACACCUGUUGGUAAAAUAAGCAGUGGGUAUCGCAGCCAAGUUUGCGCAAUCAAUGUCAAUUUCCUCAUUUCUUUCUUUCAUUCUUUUCCAUUAAACCUUUGAAAGGUUAAGUUGUAUUUUCAUUGCGCUCCGCAGGGAAAUUUUAUAAGUCCUUUAAAAAUGAGUGAAACUCUGCAAUUGCGCGGUACCCUUGUUGGUCACACUGGCUGGGUAACACAAAUCGCCACCAACCCAAAGGAUCCCGACACCAUCAUCUCGGCUUCUCGUGAUAAGACCCUUAUCGUCUGGAAAUUGACCCGCGAUGAAGACACCAACUACGGUUUCCCUCAAAAGCGUUUGUACGGACACUCCCACUUCAUUAGCGAUGUUGUGCUCUCAUCCGAUGGUAACUACGCUCUGUCUGGCUCAUGGGAUAAGACUUUGCGCUUGUGGGAUUUGGCUGCUGGCAAAACCACCCGUCGUUUUGAAGAUCACACCAAGGUGGGGCGAAAUGUCACAAUUUUAAGUCAAACAUUUGUGUAGCAUAGCAGUUGAAAGGGUCUAACUUUUUAUGGAAAAAUGUCUGAAAUUGAAAAUGCACUAAGUGCAGGCAAAAUUUUUAGGAGUACAGGUGGUGCUUAUUUAGGGCCUUAUGCAACUAAUUUGACAAAGUUUGAGGUUAGAUCAGAUAGUCUAGCAAAGUAAUUUGAUAGGUCAAGCACCACCUAAAUAUAUAUAAAAAUAUGUGCCUAUGCGAGGCAGAAUUCUGGUUGAGUGUCGUGGAGCACCUUCUCGGAACAUCUUCACCGCAACGGCAGGGCGGUAAAUUGAUGUGCUCUCGGUAGCUUUCUCCGCUGACAAUCGUCAAAUUGUCUCCGGUUCUCGGGACAAGACUAUCAAGUUGUGGAACACUUUGGCCGAGUGCAAGUUCACCAUCCAGGAAGACGGUCACAGCGAUUGGGUAUCUUGCGUACGCUUCUCACCAAACCAUUCCAACCCAAUUAUCGUUUCUUGCGGUUGGGAUCGCACCGUCAAGGUCUGGAACUUGGCUAACUGCAAGUUGAAGAACAACCACCACGGCCACAAUGGCUACUUGAACACCGUGACUGUCUCACCCGACGGUUCGCUCUGCACAUCCGGUGGCAAGGACUCCAAGGCCUUGUUGUGGGAUCUUAAUGACGGCAAGAACUUGUACACUUUGGAACACAAUGACAUCAUCAAUGCUUUGUGCUUCUCACCCAACCGUUACUGGUUGUGCGUCGCUUAUGGUCCAUCCAUCAAGAUCUGGGAUUUGGCAUGCAAGAAGACCGUCGAGGAGCUCCGCCCCGAGGUUGUGUCGGGCAACUCCAAGGCUGAUCCACCACAGUGUUUGUCGUUGGCUUGGUCCACUGACGGCCAGACUUUGUUCGCUGGCUACUCUGACAAGACCAUUCGCGUAUGGCAAGUCUCUGUCUCUGCUCACUAAGCUUAUGCUUUUGUAGCAGAUAUGGACGCUUAAUUGCAGUGACAUUAUUAUUUUUAACUACAAAUUUCGUACGUACUAAGUAGUGUUGCCCAUACUGUUUGGGCAUUCAAAUUAGAAAUGUAUGCGAAAAGAAAAAUGUUUACUGUAUUUAAAAUGUUAAAUCAUUGAGCGCUGAUUUGUUUAUUAUAUAAGCAAAUAAAUAACAAGGAAAUGUCAAAAAAUCUAAAAAAAAAAUUAAAAUUGUAUAUUUUGUAUUAAUUUAGUGAUAUUUUAGUUUAAGACGUAAUUACAUAGUAAAUAUAGGGAUAUUUAUA